UAUCACAGCAGAAUUUGACAUUU
RNAcentral lists this microRNA (23 nucleotides) under Parasteatoda tepidariorum (common house spider). RNAcentral describes it as "pte-miR-11961c-3p". The record is from miRBase by way of RNAcentral. Lineage: Eukaryota; Metazoa; Arthropoda; Arachnida; Araneae; Theridiidae.